UACGGAGGGUGCAAGCGUUAUCCGGAUUCACUGGGUUUAAAGGGUGUGUAGGCGGGUAUUUAAGUCAGUGGUGAAAUCUCUGAGCUCAACUCAGAAACUGCCAUUGAUACUAUUUAUCUUGAAUAUCGUUGAGGUUGGCGGAAUAUAUCAUGUAGCGGUGAAAUGCAUAGAUAUGAUAUAGAACACCGAUUGCGAAGGCAGCUAACUAAGCGAUGAUUGACGCUGAGGCACGAAAGCGUGGGGAU
Molecule: ribosomal RNA, 245 nt
Filed under: uncultured bacterium
Lineage: Bacteria
Description: partial 16S ribosomal RNA
Rfam family: Bacterial small subunit ribosomal RNA
Source: RNAcentral